RNAcentral lists this ribosomal RNA (500 nucleotides) under uncultured bacterium. Its description in RNAcentral is "partial 16S ribosomal RNA". It matches the Rfam family "Bacterial small subunit ribosomal RNA", at positions 30 to 523 of the family's 1533-position model. The record is from RNAcentral.
AUUGACCGCUGGCGUACUGCUUUACACAUGCAAGUCGAACGGCAGCACUGACUUCGGUCAGGUUGCGUGUGGCGAACGGGUGUGUAAAGUACCGGAACGUGCCCAGUCGUGGGGGAUAACGUAGUGAACAUUACACUAAUACCGCAUACGAUCUAUGAAAGGAAGCGGGGGAUCGCAAGACCUCGAUCGAUUGGAGCGGCCGAUAUCGGAUUAGGUAGUUGGUUGGGUAAAGGCCCACCAAGCCAACGAUCUGUAGCUGGUCUGAGAGGACGACCAGCCACACUGGAACUGAGACACGGUCCAGACUCCUACUGGAGGCAGCAGUGGGGAAUUUUGGACAAUGGGCGAAAGCCUGAUCCAGCCAUUCCGCGUGCAGGAUGAAGGCCCUCGGGUUGUAAACUGCUUUUGUACAGAACGAAAGGGUUUCUACUAAUACUAGGAGCUCAUGACGGUACUGUAAGAAUAAGCACCGGCUAACUACGUGCCAGCCGCCGCAGUAA